GUUGAACGCUGGCGGCAGGUUUAACACAUGCAAGUCGAGCGGAGAGAGGUAGCUUGCUACUGAUCUUAGCGGCGGACGGGUGAGUAAUGCUUAGGAAUCUGCCUAUUAGUGGGGGACAACAUUUCGAAAGGAAUGCUAAUACCGCAUACGUCCUACGGGAGAAAGCAGGGGAUCUUCGGACCCUGCGCUAAUAGAUGAGCCUAAGUCGGAUUAGCUAGUUGGUGGGGUAAAGGCCUACCAAGGCGACGAUCUGUAGCGGGUCUGAGAGGAUGAUCCGCCACACUGGGACUGAGACACGGCCCAGACUCCUACGGGAGGCAGCAGUGGGGAAUAUUGGACAAUGAGCGGAAGCCUGCUCCAGCCAUGCCGCGUGUGUGAGGAAGGCCUUAUGGUUGUAAAGCACUUUAAGCGAGGAGGAGGCUACUUUAGUUAAUACCUAGAGAUAGUGGACGUUACUCGCAGAAUAAGCACCGGCUAACUCUGUGCCAGCAGCCGCGGUAA
Molecule: ribosomal RNA, 501 nt
Filed under: uncultured bacterium
Lineage: Bacteria
Description: partial 16S ribosomal RNA
Rfam family: Bacterial small subunit ribosomal RNA
Source: RNAcentral